RNAcentral lists this ribosomal RNA (604 nucleotides) under uncultured bacterium. RNAcentral describes it as "bacterial SSU rRNA". It matches the Rfam family "Bacterial small subunit ribosomal RNA", at positions 8 to 607 of the family's 1533-position model. The record is from RNAcentral.
AGAGUUUGAUCCUGGCUCAGAUUGAACGCUGGCGGCAGGCCUAACACAUGCAAGUCGAGCGGUAGAGAGAAGCUUGCUUCUCUUGAGAGCGGCGGACGGGUGAGUAAUGCCUAGGAAUCUGCCUGGUAGUGGGGGAUAACGUUCGGAAACGGACGCUAAUACCGCAUACGUCCUACGGGAGAAAGCAGGGGACCUUCGGGCCUUGCGCUAUCAGAUGAGCCUAGGUCGGAUUAGCUAGUUGGUGGGGUAAUGGCUCACCAAGGCGACGAUCCGUAACUGGUCUGAGAGGAUGAUCAGUCACACUGGAACUGAGACACGGUCCAGACUCCUACGGGAGGCAGCAGUGGGGAAUAUUGGACAAUGGGCGAAAGCCUGAUCCAGCCAUGCCGCGUGUGUGAAGAAGGUCUUCGGAUUGUAAAGCACUUUAAGUUGGGAGGAAGGGCAGUAAAUUAAUACUUUGCUGUUUUGACGUUACCGACAGAAUAAGCACCGGCUAACUCUGUGCCAGCAGCCGCGGUAAUACAGAGGGUGCAAGCGUUAAUCGGAAUUACUGGGCGUAAAGCGCGCGUAGGUGGUUAGUUAAGUUGGAUGUGAAAUCCCCGGG